GAACGCUGGCGGCGUGCCUAAUACAUGCAAGUCGAGCGGACAGAAGGGAGCUUGCUCCCGGAUGUUAGCGGCGGACGGGUGAGUAACACGUGGGUAACCUGCCUGUAAGACUGGGAUAACUCCGGGAAACCGGAGCUAAUACCGGAUAGUUCCUUGAACCGCAUGGUUCAAGGAUGAAAGACGGUUUCGGCUGUCACUUACAGAUGGACCCGCGGCGCAUUAGCUAGUUGGUGGGGUAAUGGCUCACCAAGGCGACGAUGCGUAGCCGACCUGAGAGGGUGAUCGGCCACACUGGGACUGAGACACGGCCCAGACUCCUACGGGAGGCAGCAGUAGGGAAUCUUCCGCAAUGGACGAAAGUCUGACGGAGCAACGCCGCGUGAGUGAUGAAGGUUUUCGGAUCGUAAAGCUCUGUUGUUAGGGAAGAACAAGUGCGAGAGUAACUGCUCGCACCU
RNAcentral lists this ribosomal RNA (455 nucleotides) under Bacillus sp. R-27021. RNAcentral's name for it is "bacterial SSU rRNA". It matches the Rfam family "Bacterial small subunit ribosomal RNA", at positions 31 to 480 of the family's 1533-position model. Lineage: Bacteria; Bacillati; Bacillota; Bacilli; Caryophanales; Bacillaceae. The record is from RNAcentral.